This 636-nucleotide ribosomal RNA is filed under the name uncultured soil bacterium. RNAcentral's name for it is "bacterial SSU rRNA". It matches the Rfam family "Bacterial small subunit ribosomal RNA", at positions 96 to 734 of the family's 1533-position model. The record is from RNAcentral.
UGGCGGACGGGUGCGUAACACGUGAGGAACAUGACCUUCGGCGGGGGAUAGCCGGCCCAACGGCCGGGUAAUACCGCGUACGACCAUCCGGGGACAUCCCUGGGUGGUGAAAGCAGCAAUGCGCCGAUGGAGUGCCUCGCGGCCUAUCAGCUAGUUGGUGAGGUAACGGCUCACCAAGGCGACGACGGGUAGCUGGUCUGAGAGGAUGGCCAGCCACAUUGGGACUGAGACACGGCCCAGACUCCUACGGGAGGCAGCAGUGGGGAAUAUUGCGCAAUGGACGAAAGUCUGACGCAGCGACGCCGCGUGUGGGAUGACGGUCUUCGGAUUGUAAACCACUGUCGGGAGGGACGAAUACGCCGCAAGGCGGGUGACGGUACCUCCAAAGGAAGCACCGGCUAACUCCGUGCCAGCAGCCGCGGUAAUACGGAGGGUGCGAGCGUUGUCCGGAAUCACUGGGCGUAAAGGGCGCGUAGGCGGCCUGAUAAGUAGGGGGUGAAAUCCUGCGGCUUAACCGCAGGGCUGCCUUCUAAACUGUCGGGCUCGAGCACAGUAGAGGCAGGUGGAAUUCCCGGUGUAGCGGUGGAAUGCGUAGAGAUCGGGAAGAACAUCAGUGGCGAAGGCGGCCUGCUGGGC